AGUGAACGCUGGCGGUAGGCCUAACACAUGCAAGUCGAACGGCAGCACAGUAAGAGCUUGCUCUUACGGGUGGCGAGUGGCGGACAGGUGAGGAAUACAUCGGAAUCUACUUUUUCGUGGGGGAUAACGUAGGGAAACUUACGCUAAUACCGCAUACGACCUACGGGUGAAAGCAGGGGAUCUUCGGACCUUGCGCGAUUGAAUGAGCCGAUGUCGGAUUAGCUAGUUGGUGGGGUAAAGGCCCACCAAGGCGACGAUCCGUAGCUGGUCUGAGAGGAUGAUCAGCCACACUGGAACUGAGACACGGUCCAGACUCCUACGGGAGGCAGCAGUGGGGAAUAUUGGACGAUGGGCGCAAGCCUGAUCCAGCCAUACCGCGUGGGUGAAGAAGGCCUUCGGGUUGUAAAGCCCUUUUGUUGGGAAAGAAAAGCAGCAGGUUAAUACCCCGCUGUUCUGACGGUACCCAAAGAAUAAGCACCGGCUAACUUCGUG
This 492-nucleotide ribosomal RNA is filed under the name uncultured bacterium. Its description in RNAcentral is "partial 16S ribosomal RNA". It matches the Rfam family "Bacterial small subunit ribosomal RNA", at positions 29 to 507 of the family's 1533-position model. The record is from RNAcentral.